UAAUUGAAUAGCUUCCAGCUGGUUCAAUCCUUGCUCAAAGGGGCACCUUUCUGUUGGACGUUGGUGGAGUUUCAUCGUUUAACAGCCCGGUGCUGUUUGUGCAUCGGAUCGUUUUCAGUUAGGGGUUGUUUUGUGCAUCCGAACAGCAGCGGUUCUGCCCGCCCCUGUGUGCACAGCCCAGGGCUGUGCCUGCUUGUAGCAGCCGUGCAGUCACUGUUCAUCCUCAGCUGCUGCAGCACUGAGCCCUGCCCCGUGCCUUCUGCUCCAUCUCAAACAAAAACCAUAAAAGCAAACGAGGAAAAAGCCAAUUAUUUAAGAAGGUAAAAUCCCUGCUGCCUCUGCUCUGGGCUGCCGCCUCAUUUCUUCACUUCUGUUUGUAGAAAUAAAUGUUUCCGAGGGGGCCAAAAGCAAACAGCUUUCUUCAGAGCCACUGAGGGUUGUGGAGAUGAGUGGCUACAGCUGUAGGGGAGUUUCUCUGCCCCGCUCGCGCCUCUAACGCGAGCUCUUUAACCUCCAGCGCCGCCGCCUCUUCCCUCCAUCUCUUCCAUUCGCUGUGAGCAGCGCCUUCGGGCUCCUCCGUGGGUCGGGGGCCGAACUCUCCCCGCAGCUCCGUGCGGGUGGGGCCGGGGCGCUCCUCCUCUGCAGCGGAGAGGGAAAGGGAAAGCGAAAGGGAAAGAGCGGGCGAUGUCCCCGCAGCGGGACCGGGGCAGGCGGCACACGCAGCCCGCAGCGAGGGGAAGCAUGUGAUCAUCGCCAGGAGGUGCACAGGGAGAGGUCCCACCAGGACACCCCUCCUCCCAGGGGUGCAGCGGUUGAUUACGGGGUCCUGUGACAGCUCCACAUCCACAGUGACCAAGGACCCACGGGGACGGUGGUCCUGGAGGUGGCUGGUGACUGCAGACUGCUGGAAUGCUCCAUGCCUGGAUGAGACGUGUGAGGGUGCUGGGGAUGCUGGUGGCUGUGGGUUUCCUACUGAGCCCGGAUCAUCGCAGCCAAGGCAGGCCAGGUUGGACGGGGCCUUGGGCAACCUGAGCUGGAUUUCAGCCUCCGGAUUUCAGCUCCCAAAAUGUGCCAAGCGUGAGCCUUCAGCAAGAGCUUCAUCCACCCAACACAUGCUGGACUAAUUCAUCCCAACCCCUCUCUGCAGGAGUUUUGCCUUCACAGAAGCAGCCGGUGCAUUAGAAGUUGGUUUUGGAAUGCACUCACAGUGCCAACAGCCAUAGUGACCGUCCUGCUGAGCAGGGGGGGGGUCUGCAAUGGGGAUGGAGCCCAAACCGUGGCCUUGGGACCCCAGCUGAGUUUCCCUGCUGCCAGCUGGGGGAUGGGGGCAUCAGGAACAGGACACAUCUAGGAACAGGAGCAGGCGUUGCCUCGCUUACCCUGGGGCUUUAAAGGCCAGGCUCACCCCCAGCAAGGUCCUCAGUUAGCUGCCCAGCUCCUUAUAAAGUCAGAUUUGUCAUCUCAAAAUACAGUUUGCUGUAGAACAGAGAAUAUUUAGGAGGGAUUUGGUGAGUAACAUCUGCUGCUGUACUGAAAAUUCAAAGUGUUAAAAACUUAAAAAAAAAAAAGAGGUUUGGGUAAAAAUAAAAGGCCUUUGGAGAGGUCUCCUCGGCAGGAUCCUUUUCUCCCUGUGCACACAGCA
Long non-coding RNA from Tympanuchus pallidicinctus (lesser prairie-chicken), 1642 nucleotides. RefSeq lists it as uncharacterized. NCBI's taxonomy places the organism in Eukaryota, Metazoa, Chordata, Aves, Galliformes, Phasianidae. The transcript is spliced from 2 exons. The record is from RefSeq and is a predicted model, not a curated record.